AGAGUUUGAUCCUGGCUCAGGAUGAACGCUGGCGGCGUGCCUAAUACAUGCAAGUCGAACGGAGUAUAUAGCAAUAUGUACUUAGUGGCGAACGGGUGAGUAACGCGUUGGUGACCUGCCCCUUAGAGAGGGAUAACAGUCCGAAAGGGCUGCUAAUACCCCAUGACGUUUCGAGGAUUAGAAGCUUGAAACCAAAGGAGAAAUCCGCUAAGGGAGGGGCCUGCGUCCCAUCAGCUAGUUGGUAGGGUAAAGGCCUACCAAGGCAAUGACGGGUAGGGGACCUGAGAGGGUGGCCCCCCACAAUGGAACUGAAACACGGUCCAUACACCUACGGGUGGCAGCAGUAGGGAAUAUUGGUUAAUGGGCGAAAGCCUGAACCAGCAACGCCGCGUGCACGAUGACGGCCUUCGGGUUGUAAAGUGCUUUUUGGAGGGAAGAGGAAGGACGGUACCUCCAGAAUAAGUCUCGGCUAACUACGUGCCAGCAGCCGCGGUAACACGUAGGAGACAAGCGUUAUUCGGAUUUACUGGGCGUAAAGCGCGUGCAGGCGGUCUGACAAGUUGGAUGUGAAAGCUCCUGGCUUAACUGGGAGAGGUCGUUCAAAACUAUCAGACUAGAGAGUGGUAGAGGAAGGCGGAAUUCCGGGUGUAGUGGUGAAAUGCGUAGAUAUCCGGAGGAACACCAGUGGCGAAAGCGGCCUUCUGGACCAAUUCUGACGCUCAGACGCGAAAGCUAGGGUAGCGAACGGGAUUAGAGACCCCGGUAGUCCUAGCCGUAAACGAUGUAGACUUGGCGUUGGUGGGGUAAAAUCCAUCAGUGCCGAAGCAAACGCGAUAAGUCUACCGCCUGGGGACUACGGCCGCAAGGUUAAAACUCAAAGGAAUUGACGG
RNAcentral lists this ribosomal RNA (890 nucleotides) under uncultured bacterium. RNAcentral's name for it is "bacterial SSU rRNA". It matches the Rfam family "Bacterial small subunit ribosomal RNA", at positions 8 to 916 of the family's 1533-position model. The record is from RNAcentral.